AGUUUUCGGACAACGGAAGGUGAGGACAGUGGCGGACGGGUGAGUAACGCGUGAGGAACCUGCCUUUCAGAGGGGGACAACAGUUGGAAACGACUGCUAAUACCGCAUGACACAUAGAGAUCGCAUGGUUUUUAUGUCAAAGAUUUAUCGCUGAAAGAUGGCCUCGCGUCUGAUUAGCUAGUUGGUGAGGUAACGGCCCACCAAGGCGACGAUCAGUAGCCGGACUGAGAGGUUGACCGGCCACAUUGGGACUGAGAUACGGCCCAGACUCC
This 272-nucleotide ribosomal RNA is filed under the name uncultured Oscillibacter sp. Its description in RNAcentral is "partial 16S ribosomal RNA". It matches the Rfam family "Bacterial small subunit ribosomal RNA", at positions 71 to 339 of the family's 1533-position model. The record is from RNAcentral. Lineage: Bacteria; Bacillati; Bacillota; Clostridia; Eubacteriales; Oscillospiraceae.